Molecule: ribosomal RNA, 723 nt
Filed under: Vibrio sp. 14D01
Lineage: Bacteria; Pseudomonadati; Pseudomonadota; Gammaproteobacteria; Vibrionales; Vibrionaceae
Description: bacterial SSU rRNA
Rfam family: Bacterial small subunit ribosomal RNA
Source: RNAcentral
ACGCUGGCGGCAGGCCUAACACAUGCAAGUCGAGCGGAAACGACACUAACAAUUCUUCGGGUGCGUUAAUGGGCGUCGAGCGGCGGACGGGUGAGUAAUGCCUAGGAAAUUGCCUUGAUGUGGGGGAUAACCAUUGGAAACGAUGGCUAAUACCGCAUAAUGCCUACGGGCCAAAGAGGGGGAUCUUCGGRCCUCUCGCGUCAAGAUAUGCCUAGGUGGGAUUAGCUAGUUGGUGAGGUAAUGGCUCACCAAGGCGACGAUCCCUAGCUGGUCUGAGAGGAUGAUCAGCCACACUGGAACUGAGACACGGUCCAGACUCCUACGGGAGGCAGCAGUGGGGAAUAUUGCACAAUGGGCGAAAGCCUGAUGCAGCCAUGCCGCGUGUAUGAAGAAGGCCUUCGGGUUGUAAAGUACUUUCAGUUGUGAGGAAGGGGGUAACGUUAAUAGCGUUAUCUCUUGACGUUAGCAACAGAAGAAGCACCGGCUAACUCCGUGCCAGCAGCCGCGGUAAUACGGAGGGUGCGAGCGUUAAUCGGAAUUACUGGGCGUAAAGCGCAUGCAGGUGGUUCAUUAAGUCAGAUGUGAAAGCCCGGGGCUCAACCUCGGAACUGCAUUUGAAACUGGUGAACUAGAGUGCUGUAGAGGGGGGUAGAAUUUCAGGUGUAGCGGUGAAAUGCGUAGAGAUCUGAAGGAAUACCAGUGGCGAAGGCGGCCCCCUGGACA